AAGUCUCGUUGGUGACAGCGGAGGGUCAUUACCGAGUUUACAACUCCCAAACCCAAUGUGAACGUUACCAAACUGUUGCCUCGGCGGGAUCUCUGCCCCGGGUGCGUCGCAGCCCCGGACCAAGGCGCCCGCCGGAGGACCAACCAAAACUCUUAUUGUAUACCCCCUCGCGGGUUUUUUUAUAAUCUGAGCCUUCUCGGCGCCUCUCGUAGGCGUUUCGAAAAUGAAUCAAAACUUUCAACAACGGAUCUCUUGGUUCUGGCAUCGAUGAAGAACGCAGCGAAAUGCGAUAAGUAAUGUGAAUUGCAGAAUUCAGUGAAUCAUCGAAUCUUUGAACGCACAUUGCGCCCGCCAGUAUUCUGGCGGGCAUGCCUGUCCGAGCGUCAUUUCAACCCUCGAACCCCUCCGGGGGGUCGGCGUUGGGGAUCGGCCCUGCCUUGGCGGUGGCCGUCUCCGAAAUACAGUGGCGGUCUCGCCGCAGCCUCUCCUGCGCAGUAGUUUGCACACUCGCAUCGGGAGCGCGGCGCGUCCACAGCCGUUAAACACCCAACUUCUGAAAUGUUGACCUCGGAUCAGGUAGGAAUACCCGCUGAACUUAAGCAUACUAA
This 608-nucleotide ribosomal RNA is filed under the name Trichoderma harzianum. RNAcentral describes it as "eukaryotic LSU rRNA". The stretch from base 233 to 386 matches the Rfam family "5.8S ribosomal RNA". Lineage: Eukaryota; Fungi; Ascomycota; Sordariomycetes; Hypocreales; Hypocreaceae. The record is from RNAcentral.